GUAUUGAAACAGCUUCAAAAGAAACCAGAACAUCAGGGGCUGAAACUGCACUUUGUCGAAGAUCGACUGGCAACCCUAAAGAAUGUGAUCAAAGAACCUGAAUUGGA
Molecule: non-coding RNA, 107 nt
Organism: Prunus avium (sweet cherry)
Lineage: Eukaryota; Viridiplantae; Streptophyta; Magnoliopsida; Rosales; Rosaceae
Source: RefSeq, a predicted model, not a curated record